Molecule: non-coding RNA, 23 nt
Filed under: Cricetulus griseus (Chinese hamster)
Lineage: Eukaryota; Metazoa; Chordata; Mammalia; Rodentia; Cricetidae
Source: RNAcentral
GCCCCGCGCAAGCAGCUGGCCAC